GGGGACGAAAGGAUUCGACAGGAAGCCAGGUAGCCGGAUAGCAGGCCGAGGUUGGCUGUCACCCUCGUUAAUCAGGCGGCCAAAAAUAAACGGCAACACUCGCCAACUCGCUCUCGCCGCUUAGUGCGGAGCCGUCCUCCCCGGGGCCCGGCCUGGUAGCGCCGGGGUAGGGCGUCACCAAAGCCAGGCUGCCGCGGGCUGACGCCGAUACCGCCCGCGAAAGACGCAUCGGCUGGCCGGAGAACGUGGGGACCACCACUGCAGUUCCCCGGCGAGACCCUUAUCGGUGGGAAAGCCUGUAGGAUAAUCCGGAGCCGACCUUCUCUGGACCGGGAGUUCAACUCUCCC
Molecule: transfer-messenger RNA, 348 nt
Filed under: Chloroflexota bacterium
Lineage: Bacteria; Bacillati; Chloroflexota
Description: Chloroflexi bacterium (sediment metagenome) partial transfer-messenger RNA
Rfam family: transfer-messenger RNA
About the family: Bacterial tmRNA, also known as 10Sa RNA or SsrA, is named for its dual tRNA and mRNA-like properties. Its role is to liberate the mRNA from a stalled ribosome. To accomplish this part of the tmRNA is used as a reading frame that ends in a translation stop signal.
Source: RNAcentral